RNAcentral lists this ribosomal RNA (206 nucleotides) under uncultured Bacillota bacterium. RNAcentral's name for it is "uncultured Firmicutes bacterium partial 16S ribosomal RNA". It matches the Rfam family "Bacterial small subunit ribosomal RNA", at positions 568 to 774 of the family's 1533-position model. The record is from RNAcentral. Lineage: Bacteria; Bacillati; Bacillota.
UGCGUAGGUGGCCUUUUAAGUUGGAUGUGAAAUACCCGGGCUUAACUUGGGGGUGCAUCUAAUACUGGAAGGCUAGAGUGCAGGAGAGGAAAGCGGAAUUCCUAGUGUAGCGGUGAAAUGCGUAGAUAUUAGGAGGAACACCAGUGGCGAAGGCGGCUUUCUGGACUGUAACUGACACUGAGGCACGAAAGCGUGGGGAGCAAACA